AACGAACGCUGGCGGCAUGCCUAACACAUGCCAGUCGAACGAGACCUUCGGGUCUAGUGGCGCACGGGUGCGUAACGCGUGGGAACCUGCCCUUAGGUUCAGAAUAACUCCCCGAAAGGGGUGCUAAUACCGGAUAAUGUCUUCGGACCAAAGAUUUAUCGCCUUUGGAUGGGCCCGCGUUGGAUUAGCUAGUUGGUAGGGUAAAAGCCUACCAAGGCGACGAUCCAUAGCUGGUCUGAGAGGAUGAUCAGCCACACUGGGACUGAGACACGGCCCAGACUCCUACGGGAGGCAGCAGUGGGGAAUAUUGGACAAUGGGCGAAAGCCUGAUCCAGCAAUGCCGCGUGAGUGAUGAAGGCCUUAGGGUUGUAAAGCUCUUUUACCCGGGAUGAUAAUGACAGUACCGGGAGAAUAAGCUCCGGCUAACUCCGUG
RNAcentral lists this ribosomal RNA (433 nucleotides) under uncultured bacterium. RNAcentral describes it as "partial 16S ribosomal RNA". It matches the Rfam family "Bacterial small subunit ribosomal RNA", at positions 29 to 507 of the family's 1533-position model. The record is from RNAcentral.